Molecule: ribosomal RNA, 157 nt
Filed under: Lacticaseibacillus rhamnosus
Lineage: Bacteria; Bacillati; Bacillota; Bacilli; Lactobacillales; Lactobacillaceae
Description: Lactobacillus rhamnosus partial 16S ribosomal RNA
Source: RNAcentral
AACCCCAUUAAGCAGGUUACCCACGUGUUACUCACCCGUCCGCCACUCGUUCAAAAUUAAAUCAAGGUGCAAGCACCUUUCAAUAAUCAGAACUCGUUCGACUUGCAUGUAUUAGGCACGCCGCCAGCGUUCAUCCUGAGCCAUGAUCAAACUCUGA